AUUGAACGCUGGCGGAAUGCUUUACACAUGCAAGUCGAACGGCAGCACGGACUUCGGUCUGGUGGCGAGUGGCGAACGGGUGAGUAAUGUAUCGGAACGUGCCCAGUCGUGGGGGAUAACGAAGUGAAAAUUACGCUAAUACCGCAUACCAUCUAUGGAUGAAAGCGGGGGAUCGCCAGAUCACGCGCGAUUCGAGCGGCCGAUAUCAGAUUAGGUAGUUGGUGGGGUAAAGGCCCACCAAGCCAACGAUCUGUAGCUGGUCUGAGAGGACGACCAGCCACACUGGAACUGAGACACGGUCCAGACUCCUACGGGAGGCAGCAGUGGGGAAUUUUGGACAAUGGGCGAAAGCCUGAUCCAGCCAUUCCGCGUGCAGGAUGAAGGCCCUCGGGUUGUAAACUGCUUUUGUACAGAACGAAAAGGUUUCUACUAAUACUAGGAGCUCAUGACGGUACUGUAAGAAUAAGCACCGGCUAACUACGUGCCAGCAGCCGCCGUAU
This 500-nucleotide ribosomal RNA is filed under the name uncultured bacterium. Its description in RNAcentral is "partial 16S ribosomal RNA". It matches the Rfam family "Bacterial small subunit ribosomal RNA", at positions 30 to 523 of the family's 1533-position model. The record is from RNAcentral.